AUUGCACGCUGGCGGCAUGCUUUACACAUGCAAGUCGAACGAGUUGCGAACGGGUGAGUAAUAUAUCGGAACGUACCGAGUAAUGGGGGAUAACCACUCGAAAGAUUGGCUAAUACCGCAUAUUAUUCGAGCGGCCGAUAACUGGUUAGCUAGUUGGUGGGGUAAAGGCCUACCAAGGUGACGAUAAGUAGCGGGUCUGAGAGGACGUUACGCCACACUGUGACUGAGACACUGCCAAGACUCCUACGGUAGGCAGCAGUGGGGAAUUUUGGACAGUGGGGGCAACCCUGAUGAAGCCAUGCCGCGUGUAUGAAGAAGGCAUUCGGGUUGUAAAGUACUUUUGUUAGGGAAGCGGUACCUAAAGAAUAAGCACCGGCUAACUACGUGACAGCAGCCGCGGUAAUAC
This 406-nucleotide ribosomal RNA is filed under the name uncultured bacterium. RNAcentral's name for it is "partial 16S ribosomal RNA". It matches the Rfam family "Bacterial small subunit ribosomal RNA", at positions 30 to 526 of the family's 1533-position model. The record is from RNAcentral.